ACCCCGAAGGUGGACCAGGUGGCCAUGGAGCAGUUCGGCCGGGCCAUGAAGCUGCUGCCCAUACACAUCCAGAUGGUCUUCACCCCGGCCCAGGCAGAAGAGAGGUGCCGUGUCUAAGCGAGUCCUGCCGACCCGCCUCCUGGGACCUCGGCCCCCCUGCAGGACGACAUCACCCCUCCUUCCAGCCAGAGGCCCCAGGAGGGGCUGAGGCCCCUC
Long non-coding RNA from Myotis davidii, 216 nucleotides. RefSeq lists it as uncharacterized. The record is from RefSeq and is a predicted model, not a curated record. The transcript is spliced from 3 exons. Lineage: Eukaryota; Metazoa; Chordata; Mammalia; Chiroptera; Vespertilionidae.